AUUGAACGCUGGCGGCAUGCUUUACACAUGCAAGUCGAACGGUAACAGGCCGCAAGGUGCUGACGAGUGGCGAACGGGUGAGUAAUGCAUCGGAACGUGCCCAGUCGUGGGGGAUAACUACUCGAAAGAGUAGCUAAUACCGCAUACGAUCUAUGGAUGAAAGCGGGGGACCGUAAGGCCUCGCGCGAUUUGAGCGGCCGAUGUCAGAUUAGGUAGUUGGUGGGGUAAAGGCUCACCAAGCCAACGAUCUGUAGCUGGUCUGAGAGGACAACCAGCCACACUGGGACUGAGACACGGCCCAGACUCCUACGGGCGGCAGCAGUGGGGAAUUUUGGACAAUGGGCGCAAGACUGAUCCAGCAAUGCCGCGUGCAGGAAGAAGGCCUUCGGGUUGUAAACUGCUUUUGUACGGAACGAAACGGCUCUGGUUAAUACCCGGGGCUAAUGACGGUACCGUAAGAAUAAGCACCGGCUAACUACGUG
This 482-nucleotide ribosomal RNA is filed under the name uncultured bacterium. RNAcentral's name for it is "partial 16S ribosomal RNA". It matches the Rfam family "Bacterial small subunit ribosomal RNA", at positions 30 to 507 of the family's 1533-position model. The record is from RNAcentral.